CCUGCCCCUAAGUCUGGGAUACCAUUUGGAAACAGGUGCUAAUACCGGAUAAUAAAGCACAUCGCAUGAUCAGCUUUUGAAAGGCGGCGUAAGCUGUCGCUAAGGGAUGGCCCCGCGGUGCAUUAGCUAUUUGGUAAGGUAACGGCUUACCAAAGCGACGAUGCAUAACCGACUUGAGACACUGAUCGGCCACAUUGGGACUGACACACGGCCCAAACUCCUACGGGAGGCAGCAGUACGGAAUCUUCCACAAUGGACGCAAGUCUGAUGGAGCAACGCCGCGUGAGUGAAGAAGGUUUUCGGAUCGUAAAGCUCUGUUGUUGGUGAAGAAGGAUAGAGGUAGUAACUGGCCUUUAUUUGACGGUAAUCAACCAUAAAGUCACGGCUAACUACGUGCCAGCAGCCGCGGUAAUACGUAGGUGGCAAGCGUUGUCCGGAUUUAUUGGGCGUAAAGCGAGCGCAGGCGGAAAAAUAAUUCUAAUGUGAAAGCCCUCGGCUUAACCGAGGAAUUGCAUCGGAAACUGUUUUUCUUGAAUGCAGAAAAGGAGAGUGGAACUCCAUGUGUAGCGGUGGAAUGCGUAAAUAUAUGGAAGAACACCAUGGCAAAGGCGGCUCUCUG
This 619-nucleotide ribosomal RNA is filed under the name uncultured bacterium. Its description in RNAcentral is "bacterial SSU rRNA". It matches the Rfam family "Bacterial small subunit ribosomal RNA", at positions 125 to 731 of the family's 1533-position model. The record is from RNAcentral.